GUAUUGGGAUUGUACCAUACAGUCCACUUGGUCGUGGUUUUUUCGCUGGCAAAGCAAUUGUUGAAAGCUUACAUCAGGGUGACAGCCGAUUGAUCCGGAUACCUCGGUUUCAUGGAGAGAACUUGGAGAAGAAUAAAGUAUUAUAUGAAAGAGUUUCUGCACUUGCUCAGAAACAUGGUUGCACACCCGCACAAUUGGCCCUUGCAUGGAUACUUCACCAAGGAAAAGAUGUUGCACCCAUACCAGGAACAACCAAAAUAAAGAACUUGGAUACAU
Molecule: long non-coding RNA, 276 nt
Organism: Cryptomeria japonica (Japanese cedar)
Lineage: Eukaryota; Viridiplantae; Streptophyta; Pinopsida; Cupressales; Cupressaceae
Exons: 3
Source: RefSeq, a predicted model, not a curated record